This is a long non-coding RNA of Dromaius novaehollandiae (emu), 2722 nucleotides long. RefSeq lists it as uncharacterized. The transcript is spliced from 4 exons. The record is from RefSeq and is a predicted model, not a curated record. NCBI's taxonomy places the organism in Eukaryota, Metazoa, Chordata, Aves, Casuariiformes, Dromaiidae.
UCCUGGAGAAAGGAGCCAGUCUGCAGAGCCGGAGGUGGCCGUACGAGUCAGAGGGGACGCUAGGACAGACUGCCUGCCUGCUGAAAGCCGCGCGCAGGAGGCAGAGGCUGCUGCACAGCGAAAAGGAGGUGGAGAGGGUUCAUACGUUACUUCUGAAUGGAGUCCAGAGUGUUUGAUCCUUUCUGUGGGCCCAUGACAAAGGGAGAUGCUUUUCACGGCCUGGAACCAGUCGGUGAUAGCUUCACAUCCAGGAACAGCACAAAAGAUCGGGGCACCCAGCUGAGGGAUUCAACCAAAUCAGUGAGGCUGUCCUGUGCGCAACCAUCACUGACUGCAAAGGAGACAGCAAGAUCUGCUGAAGAUUAAAAGUACAGCGGACAACAGAAUGUGUUGCAGAAAGGAGAAAUGCCAGCUCACUUCCUAAAAUGGGAAUAUCCCAAAACAUUGUUCCCGGCGCAGGACUAUCUCAGGGGAAAGAUCAAGAAGCGGACAGUAACAUCUGCAGUGUGCCCCUCACCGCUGCAGGCCUCCGUAAUGCUCGAGGGAGGGAGAGGAACGCUAUUUGCCAUAGAUCCCAUGACCUCAUGAUCUCAUGGCAAAUAACCAGGGAACUUACACCCUAUAAAAUUCCCUUAAUUUAACUGUAACUGCCAACAAAUGGACUUCAACCUAAAUAGUGUAUCUUUCUUGAAAAGAAGCUACUGUGCUUUGGCACCCGACCUCAGCCCAUUAGACAGUCGCUGCUCACGUUGCUCUGGUGCUCCUAGGGCUUAGCAAAUGUAUCUGGCAUGUUUUUAGCACUUCUGUGCUUAGAUCCUCACCUUCAGGCCUGUCUAAACCCUCUGGAGGAGGCAUCUGCACAGCUUGUGAGCUGCAGUCCCUCGCACUCAUGAGAAGACAUUUGAAGGGGAAAUUGGAAAGUCAUGUAGUGGGAGUUUAUUUGCACAGUUCAGCAGCGUGCCCUAGCCAAGGACUCUUCUUAAAUGGUGGAGAACAGCCCAGGAGUCAUCUCUGCUACGUGGGGAAAACGAUUGAUGGGUGACAGUGGAGGAAAACUAAAUGUAGCACAAACACAGCGUGGGGCCUGGGAUGGCGUGCCAGCACCGUGCACUAACUGGUAGCACUGGGACUGGAGGGACAGGCAUCCUUGGAAAAGAAAAACAAGCCAAAGCCCCUAUUUUUGGGAGCUGGCAUAAGACCUCACUUCCCCCCGCCCAUCCUCAUGCCCAGCAUACGCACACAAACCAGGGAAGAGUUUCUUACCUACUACUUCAGCCUUUUUUUGUGGUAAAUGAAAAUGUUUGCUCAAGCCUUGAGUAGCUCUGUCUUAUUCUGUGCCUGUUUUGAGAAAACCUUGGAAAGCUCACGUGGAAAGCCUUGCUUAGCUGCCGUGAAGAAGGCGCACACGAAAAUGAGCUGGAGAAUGAAUGAGAACGAGCAAUAUACAGCACUCGCCGUGCCUUGGUUGCCUUUGAUGAAACGCCUGUUCUCUGCUCACUUUGAGGUCGGGCUGCUGCUAGGAGGGGAAAAGAGAAGGAGCUGUGGCAGUAUCAGGAGAGGUCAGGAGAAAUAGGAAGACACGACUGCUUUGACGUUAUUGUGACACUUCUUUGUUUUAAUACCAAGGAUCACAAAGAACGGGGCUGUUUGUUCCAAAAAUAAUGAAUGGAGUCAUUCAUUCACAUCUGUCCCUGAUUACUGGAGUCCACGGAUGAAGACAUAUACGUGCAUGAACAGGAAAAAAGGGAGUGAAAGCCUUAGAAGUCACUGGGAUUGCGGAGCUGCCCAGUUUUAGCGUACAGCUGCCGGUCCUGAGGUCUGCCCUGAAAUCCCAGCUCACUGAGGCUCGGCAAGUCUCCACUCCUCCUGGUUCCACAGGAAAGCUUGAACACCAACCCCCUAAAAACCACAGGAAUGAGUGAGAAAAAGGCAACACCGAUUUUUCUUUUAAAAAAUGUGCCGUUUUACGGUAACAGCAGGAUUUUCCUGAGGCUUGACUCAUCUUUUUGGAAGGGCCAGGGGCUCAGCACAGCUUCCCGAAGGGUGGUGGCAAGGCUGGGGAGGGUGCACGGCGAGGGGCGAGGUGCCCAGCGUGGGCAGCCGGCAGCCGGUGUGGGAAGGGAAGGCUUGUUUCCAUUUCCUUGAGGCAGAGCUCAGCUUUCACGUGUUUUAGGAGAACGCUCGAUAAGGCGCACGCUUCUUUCCAAAGGCCAAGCCCCAGCUUCGGUGCAUGCAUGCUCACUGCGUGGGUUUUUUCCUAUUUGCUUGCUGGCCGGAAAGCUGAAGUUUUUUGGAAAUGGAAGUUUUUUUUGUUUAACGGAGGAGGCAGCCCUGCAGCUAAUUCCUGCUUGCCUGGACGCUUUGCCUAAAUCCCCCCUUUUGCCAUGCCUCUCUAGCUCGUUAGCUCUGGGCCGGGAUUUAUUCCGUCGCCUAGCUCUGGAUUUGGUUGUUUUCCUUGCUGUCCUCCUUGGCGCUGGAGGGACCUACGCCAUGACUAAACUUUUCUGGCUUCGGUGCCAGCACAAUCAUGUGAGAGGUUCAGAGGCUACAGAAAAUGCUGAAGAAUCACAUCUGAAAAAGGAGAUUUCCAGCUUUUUGCACAUCAGGCUGCAGAGGAGAACGGGCAAAUUUAGGUGAAGUUCAGACAAAGGCUAUUCCUUGUAGGCAAGCCAAGAAACAUCCAGCACCUUCCAGUGUGGUUCACAAGUAGCAGUGUGACAUU